CUCGGACCGCGACCCCAG
RNAcentral lists this ribosomal RNA (18 nucleotides) under Borinda lushuiensis. Its description in RNAcentral is "Fargesia lushuiensis partial 26S ribosomal RNA". Lineage: Eukaryota; Viridiplantae; Streptophyta; Magnoliopsida; Poales; Poaceae. RNAcentral also lists the same sequence under 3 other names. The record is from RNAcentral.